AAGUCGAGGGGUAGAAUGUCUUCGGAUGUUUGAGACCGGCGCACGGGUGCGUAACGCGUAUGCAACCUACCUCUUACUGGGGAAUAGCCCGAAGAAAUUCGGAUUAAUGCCCUAUAUGCUCGUACGGCCUCAUGGUCGAGCGAGGAAAGCUCCGGCGGUAAGAGAUGGGCAUGCGUCCUAUUAGCUUGUUGGUGAGGUAAUGGCUCACCAAGGCUACGAUAGGUAGGGGGCCUGAGAGGGUGACCCCCCACACUGGUACUGAGACACGGACCAGACUCC
Molecule: ribosomal RNA, 279 nt
Filed under: unidentified marine bacterioplankton
Lineage: Bacteria
Description: partial 16S ribosomal RNA
Rfam family: Bacterial small subunit ribosomal RNA
Source: RNAcentral